GAACUGGAGAGUUUGAUCCUGGCUCAGAUUGAACGCUGGCGGUAGGCCUAACACAUGCAAGUCGAACGGUAACGGACCGCUGGGAUCCCUUCGGGGUGACCUUGGUGCCGACGAGUGGCGGACGGGUGAGUAACACGUAGGAAUCUGCCCAACAGAGGGGGACAACCCGGAGAAAUCCGGGCUAAUACCGCAUACGCCCUACGGGGGAAAGCGGGGGAUCUUCG
This 224-nucleotide ribosomal RNA is filed under the name Arenicellales bacterium. RNAcentral describes it as "partial 16S ribosomal RNA". It matches the Rfam family "Bacterial small subunit ribosomal RNA", at positions 1 to 215 of the family's 1533-position model. The record is from RNAcentral. Lineage: Bacteria; Pseudomonadati; Pseudomonadota; Gammaproteobacteria; Arenicellales.